RNAcentral lists this ribosomal RNA (440 nucleotides) under uncultured bacterium. RNAcentral describes it as "bacterial SSU rRNA". It matches the Rfam family "Bacterial small subunit ribosomal RNA", at positions 338 to 770 of the family's 1533-position model. The record is from RNAcentral.
CCUACGGGUUGCAGCAGUGGGGAAUAUUGGACAAUGGGGGCAACCCUGAUCCAGCCAUGCCGCGUGUGUGAAGAAGGCUUUCGGGUUGUAAAGCACUUUCAGUAGGGAGGAAAACCUUAUGGCUAAUACCCAUGAGGCUUGACGUUACCUACAGAAGAAGCACCGGCUAACUCCGUGCCAGCAGCCGCGGUAAUACGGAGGGUGCAAGCGUUAAUCGGAAUUACUGGGCGUAAAGCGCGCGUAGGUGGUUUGGUAAGCGAGAUGUGAAAGCCCCGGGCUUAACCUGGGAACGGCAUUUCGAACUGUCAGACUAGAGUGUGGUAGAGGGUAGUGGAAUUUCCUGUGUAGCGGUGAAAUGCGUAGAUAUAGGAAGGAACACCAGUGGCGAAGGCGGCUACCUGGACCAACACUGACACUGAGGUGCGAAAGCGUGGGGAGCA